Molecule: long non-coding RNA, 569 nt
Filed under: Laticauda laticaudata (blue-ringed sea krait)
Lineage: Eukaryota; Metazoa; Chordata; Lepidosauria; Squamata; Elapidae
Description: lncRNA (ENSLLTG00000015464.1)
Source: RNAcentral
CUGAUUCUUCAUAUUUUCUUUAUAGAAUUAAUAAACCAAAUCAGUAUUGGAGAAUUAAGGAGCAUAAAACAGUUAGAAGCCUUAUUUAGAGCUUAUACAAUAAUGGCAGUCAUUUCUGGCCACGGUUCAACUUUUUACGAGCAAUACUGUUUGAUGGCGUAUGCUUUUGUGAUUCGCAUGUGGCAGAUGUCAUUCACAACAGUAGGAUUGUUUUUAAAGGCACAGACCAAAGUUUCACCAGCUCAAUCAGCAACUCCAAAAUCAAAAGACAAAAAAGAUGCCAAAAAGCCUGAUGCUACUCAGGGUUCACCUACAAGCCCUUCUAAGAAAGAUAAAGAUAAAUCCCCAAAAGAUGUAAAAAAGGAACGCUCAGGCAGUAAAGAGAAGGUGAAAAGGAAGGGGCCAAUUGAUGUCUUGCCUGGAAAUGUGGAGGAAUGGGCUAACUAUGAGUGCCCUGAUGAGAUAAGAGAAGCCUUUAAACAGGACUCAAGUGGCUGUACUGUAAACAGAGAAACCAUUUUAGCACCUGUGAGUAAUAUCUUGCAAUAGGACAUAAUUGAAAUUAUCUA